RNAcentral lists this ribosomal RNA (484 nucleotides) under uncultured bacterium. RNAcentral describes it as "partial 16S ribosomal RNA". It matches the Rfam family "Bacterial small subunit ribosomal RNA", at positions 28 to 523 of the family's 1533-position model. The record is from RNAcentral.
GACGAACGCUGGCGGCGUGCUUAACACAUGCAAGUCGAACGAUGAAGCCGGAGCUUGCUCUGGUGAAUUAGUGGCGAACGGGUGAGUAACACGUGAGUAACCUGCCCUUGACUCUGGGAUAACUGCGGGAAACUGUAGCUAAUACCGGAUACGACCCUCGGAGGCAUCUCCUGGGGGUGGAAAGAAUUUCGGUCAAGGAUGGACUCGCGGCCUAUCAGCUAGUUGGUAAGGUAAAGGCUCACCAAGGCGACGACGGGUAGCCGGCCUGAGAGGGUGACCGGCCACACUGGGACUGAGGAACGGCCCAGACUCCUACGGGAGGCAGCAGUGGGGAAUAUUGCACAAUGUGCGCAAGCCUGAUGCAGCAACGCCGCGUGAGGGAUGACGGCCUUCGGGUUGUAAACCUCUUUUAGCAGGGAAGAAGCGAAAGUGACGGUACCUGCAGAAAAAGCACCGGCUAACUACGUGCCAGCCGCCGCGGUAA